RNAcentral lists this long non-coding RNA (678 nucleotides) under Heterocephalus glaber (naked mole-rat). Its description in RNAcentral is "lncRNA (ENSHGLG00100033799.1)". The record is from RNAcentral. Lineage: Eukaryota; Metazoa; Chordata; Mammalia; Rodentia; Bathyergidae.
AGGAAAUCUCAGGUCCCAUGAAUGCAGCAUCCAAAUGAAGGAAAGGCUCGUGCUUUUGUGCCUUGCUGUCUGCCCUCAGAGUACCAACCACCCCUCUCAAGGAUAAGCUAUUUCUUGCAAAUUUAGCAUCCUUUAUUGCUAGUAUCUGCUUUCAAGCCGGGGGUGAUAUUUCUGAAUCAUCUGGCAUUAUUUACAACAGCUAAUGAUAGACAGAGUUUGAAGUAGAACUAUAGAGCCCCAAUCCAUCCUUUUCCUUGCUCCCAGAUGUCUCUGACCCAGGAGAUAGCAGCUUAAGCCCAUAAUGGCAAAAAAAAUACAACUUUUCCUCAGAACCAGCUCUGGAAGUCAGAAGUCCAACAUCAAAGUGCCAGCAGGAUUCAGAUUCGCUUCUUCUGUGACCUCCAUCCUUGGCUUAGUGUGUUCCAUGGGCUCAGAAGCAGUGAAUCCUCCCUCUUCUCAGAAGCAGAGCGCUUCUAUCAAACAGAGCUGAAAAUGUGAAGAACAAAAGAAAAGGAAGAGAACAAUGGCUCAAAGAUGUGUCCAAUCAACCUGAAGCAAAUGCAUUUCUAAUUAAAGAUUAUGAAUAUGGGUCACCCUUUAGGACAAGCAAACACAAGUCAAGCAUCAUUCUUCUUGAUUUGUUCCAGGUCAUUGUCCUCCUCUGACUGGCUGCAGAAC